CUUCCCAUCAUCACUAGAGACCCACCAUAUGUCCUGUAUCCCACCAGGAUUCAGGGGAGUGAGCCACAGUCUCUGCACCUGAAGAGCUCAGUCCCAUGGGGCCUGUGCUGCUUCCCAACCCAGGGGGAGGCAGUAACCAAGUGGUUCCAGGGAAAGGCUCUGGAAGACCAGUAGGUGGUCCAUGGGCAGAAAUGCAGGAGAAAGCAUUCCAUGAUGAGGAUGCACAAAGGCAUGGAAGGCUUCCAGAAAUGCAAAAUGUGAAGAUGCUAAAGCAGAAGAUGUAUGUGGAGGAGGGAGGACUUUAGAGGAGGGAAGGUGGCCUCUCCUCUCAGGCUCCUGGAGAGAACCUGGCUCCAAACCCUUUAUGUGGAGAAGACUGAUUUUUUCAUCAAAUGGUUGAAAUUAAAUGCUGAAUGCAGGCAGGAGGAAACUGAGAGCUCGGACGCCCCACAGCAGUUAAAAAGGCAAGACAGAAAUGAAGACAGAGUGGGUCUGCAUCCCACCUGGGCCACCAUAGUUGUGAUCUGGGGCCUAGAGGCUGGAACAAGAGCGAGGGCCUGGCAUCCACGCCACAUCAUUCAGGGGCCUUCCAGCACCAGCACCUGAUCCAGCCCAGCAGAGCGGCUCUCCCUGAUAUUUUGGAAGCAAUCAUAUAUUUUUAAUGACCUGCAAAAUCUCCCUGUGAGAAGGGAGGGAGAGUUGAAAUUACAGCCAAGCAAUUUGCAUUGCGAAUAAGUUAUCCUGCCUCCUGCUCUCCAAGAAUAUGCAGAAAUAAAUGCCUCCUAAUGAACCCUGGGGGGCUGAGGCUUUGAUAUGAAUUCUGCUGCAGGGGUAAAGAGUUCUAGCCAGACUGAAACUCAGCGUGAAGUUGGAGCAGGAGGGCUGGGGCAGUCCCCUUCAGAGCGAGGGAAAAAGGAAAUUGGAUUAUCUUGCUAGCAGUUGGUGUUUUUCUAUCUCUUAGAACCACAGAUUAGUGCUCCCCUCCUUCAGAUGGUUGGGGAGGGUGGGGAGAGAUUCCAUUUAGCCCUAUUUCUCCAGCCGGCUGCUCACCUGCUUGUAACCCUUCCACCCUGGCCACUGUCAAGCUCCUUCUAGAUUCCCUGGACAUACAGAGACCAGGAGCUCCAAAGAUUUUGCCUUUUCCAGAACUAAAAAAGACCUAUUAAACACAGAUGGGCUUCCCUGGUGGCUCAGACAGUAAAGAAACUGCUGCAAUGUAGAAGACACAGGUUCCAUCCCUGGGUCAGGAAGAUCGCCUGGACAAGGGAAUGGCUACCCAUUCCAGUAUUCUUGCCUGGAGAAUUCCAUGGACACAGGAGCCUGGUGGGCUGCAGUCCAUGGCGUCGCAAAGAGUUGGACACAACUGAGUGACUUUCACUUUCUUUUUCAUUAAACAUAGAUAGAUGGAUGGAUAGAUAGAUAGAUGAUAAACAAUCUUUCUAUCUAAAGUCAGGUAACCUUUAGUUCUGGCUGCCAUAAG
Molecule: long non-coding RNA, 1480 nt
Organism: Bos taurus (domestic cattle)
Lineage: Eukaryota; Metazoa; Chordata; Mammalia; Artiodactyla; Bovidae
Source: Ensembl